UGUGAAGCUGGAUGCGAAAGACAAAUGAGACAAGGGAGAGACACCCUCUGGGGGCGAGGCCAGGAGCGGUGGAAGGGGCCCUCCCUGCGGUCUUUCUGGAGGCAAUCUAGCACCCUGGUCAAUAUCAGGGUCUCCGAACGCAGAGAGGCAGGGGUUUAAAGAAGGUCCUGACCCUGGGCCAGUGGCUUCGGCCAGGUGUGCCUUGCUUUUCUUCCACAGAAGAUGGCCAUGAUAUUCCUGCCUUACUGAUUAGUGGUAAGGAUGGCAUUACACGACGUACCUAAAGUGCUGGUACUUAAUAGACACACACAUGUUUCUUCUAAUCAGUAUCGUCCUUGUCUUAAUCUAUAACUACCAAGUUUUUGUUGUUGUUGUUGUGUUUGUUUUGUUUUGUUUUAACGAGGGUUUUUUUUUCAUCUGGGGGAGUCCCAGAAGAAGCCACGAUUUGCACCAAUCCUCGCAGAUGCUCCUGGACUGUUCCGGCAGAGAACACCUGGGCUGUCAGGAUCAUCCUUUAAAGAGCGGCACGUGGGGAUGCACUUUCAGCUUGCAGACGAGGAAACUGAAACAUGAGGAGUUAAGUAGCCUUUCCACGAUUAUACAGCUACUAAAUAGGAGCCCGGGCAUUGAAUGCUGGUGGUGUGGAGUAGACAAAGCCUGCUCACCUGUCAGUUAUAAUAUCCUGCCUCUUCCGGGGAAAGGAAAGGGAAGAAGGACCUAAGACCUGCCUCCCAUAUAAGUAACACCGUGUACUGGAGAUGUCACUCAAAGUAUUGGAGGUGUUCGGCAAGGAAGAGGAUGAAACAGAGACUGUGUUUGUAUAAUAAUAAUGCACUAACACAAUGCUCAGAGAGAAAGAGAACACAGGCUAGAGAAGACGUUGUCUGUCUUGAAUGGGAUUCCCUCCUUAGCAGAAGAAGGGCAUAUGGUCACCAUGCAGAGCAUUAAGUCUGAAGACCGUCUCUUUCCCUCUCUCUGGGCUGGCGCGUGGACUCUUACAGAAAGGACUGAUGCUAACUAAGGAGGAAGGAUGAGAGACCAGUGAUUCAAGAGGCUCCAGGGCACCCAUUGUAUGAACUGCUAAAUGAUUGCAAGAGCAAAGCAAAGGACCAUUUUGCUCCACCUCUGGUCUCCGUGAGUUCAAGGUUGCCUGCCAGAGUUUUUUUCCCCCUGUUGGUAGUAGACUGCACUUAGGCUGCCUCCCACAAGCUAAGGAGGAACCACCACCACUCCCAGGAGAACAGCUAACAUUCACUGAAGGCUUAUUUAAAGUCCCUCACCAGGCCUUCUUCUGUGCCCUCGCAAAACCUGAUCUUUAUGCAGGCUUUCUUCUCCGCAAAUUGGAAAAGCCAGAGCCAGCUGUGUGUCCCGAAAUACCUUGGAGACGUUGCUGCCAGGGGAGUUCAUGAGUGGGGACCAAAAUAGGGCCGACGAUUUUUUUCCUAGGAGUCUGACUACCCAAGGGGCUGCCUGCUCUGCGUUGACGUGGCUUUGUUCAUUUCUCCGUGACAAGAGACUCGUGGCUGUCAGGACAAGAUCCUUGGAAGCCCAGGGCUGAAUUCGAAGGCAGCUUUCCCCUUGCAGGCUCUAACCAAAUCCUUGUUCUCAGAGGAUCAGCCUUGCACAAGCUCUGAGAGGGGCCCGCUGGGCUGGGUGAUUGCCCAGUCUUGUCCCAAGUGCGGAAUUUCACUUGGUGGCCUCGCAGAAGGCCGAUUAGAGGGGGUGCUGAUGACACCUUGAAAACCUGGCUGCAGAUGUUUUGGGCCGUCUCUGGGGAUGCCUCCUCUUCCUGAAACGGCAGGGCACCCACUCCUCUCCCUGCACACCCCCACCCCUGCUCCCUCUACCCAUUACCACUAAUCACCACCUUGAAGUUUUAUGACUUUACAACUACUGUUUGGUGAGCUCCACCUGAAGGGAAAUAAAUCCUCAAAGUGAAGGCAAUUUGUCAGCGCAAUAUUAAAACGAAGUGUGGAGAAGAAACACUUCAGCAAAAGCCAAGCUCGCUAACCUUUCAAAAGGAAGUGUAUUUAAUUUGAGCUGAAUCAGGAAGACUGUUUGGCUGUCUUCUGUAUUUAUAAGCAUUAUGUGUAGGCUUCAUGUUACCCCAAAGUCUGCUUGUAAUCCUGUCCCUCUGCAAAAAAAAAAAAAAAAAAAAAAUGUCUUCUUAAGCUGUAAGCUGCAUUCUGAAUUCUCACUAGUCUGCAAUGCUUGUAUGCUUGUUCAACCCACCUUAGGGCCAUUUCCUGAAUGUUACUUCCUACCUCCAUCUUCCUACCCCUUCCUCAACCCUUACCACAUCACGCAAAGGAAGGCUGUUAGAUAUACCUCAGAGAUGGGAUUUUUAAUAUAACAUCUUAACUCGUGUUCCUGUCCCCAGUUUCCACCUCUCUUGCCAAAAAGCAAUACAAACUAUUCUCCACAUAGUUGUGAAAGUGAUAUUCCAAAAAUAUCUAAUCACAUUGCUCUCCUGCUUAAAACUUCUAUGGCUCCCUAUUGCCUACAGAAUCGAGUCUAAACAACUUAUAAUGGAAUCCAUGGUUGUUCUCUACCUCUACCCACAGCUGUGUUGUUUCAUAGCUUCCAUGCCUUCCAUGAUUCUGAUUGGAAUACUUCCACUGUUUAAUCUCAGGACUGGGGAAGUCCUAUUCAUCCUUCAAACCCCACGCCAGCACUCAUCUCUUUUAGGACAUCUUUUCUGACUUACUGUCUGUGUAUUUAAUCAUUUCCUCCUCAUGAUUAUUUCUGCCUCUUGUACCUGCUUGUAGUGGUGCACUUAUUGGGUAUUAUAAUUGG
Molecule: long non-coding RNA, 2796 nt
Organism: Mirounga angustirostris (Northern elephant seal)
Lineage: Eukaryota; Metazoa; Chordata; Mammalia; Carnivora; Phocidae
Exons: 4
Source: RefSeq, a predicted model, not a curated record